UCUACGCAUUUAAAUAUAAACGUGUUUAUAUGUAUCGAAAGAGAUUGUGUGUGUCUGAAUAUAAAUAUAUAUUCUGUUUAAAACAUAUAGUGACAAUACAUGUCUGUAUUAUAAUAUAUGUGUGUGUAUUAAUAUAUGUACAUGUAUUAUGCAUGUGAAAUGUAUAACCAAUGUGUGUACGUGUGGAAUUUGGGUACACUGCACUUACUUUGUGAUCUAGUAUAAAUAUAUGAUGCACUGUACUUGCUGUGUAAUCUAAUACAAUUGCGUGAGGAAUCUAAGGAUCUUGUGCUUGCUGUGUGAUCUGGUACAAGAUAAUUUAGAAAGUAAUUUGAAAUGUAUAGCUCUU
RNAcentral lists this long non-coding RNA (349 nucleotides) under Carica papaya (papaya). Its description in RNAcentral is "long non-coding RNA (CPAP_LNC013349)". Lineage: Eukaryota; Viridiplantae; Streptophyta; Magnoliopsida; Brassicales; Caricaceae. The record is from RNAcentral.